GCAGCGUUCCGGCUCUGUCGCUUGUGUCGCUUCAUGCAAUGACACAAGAGGAAAGUCCGGGCAGCAUAGGGUGCUCCACUUCCGAAAAUAGAAGUUGUUGGCGACAGCAAGUAAGAGCAGAAGAGAAUGACCGCCAUGCCGUUUGGCUGAAAAGACAAGGACAAGGUAAGGGUGAGAAGGUGGUGUAAGAGACCACCAGGCGGCGGGUGACCGUCGUGCUGUGCUCACUGGAGGCUGCAAGUUCAUGUAAACCGUCGUUGAGGGUUGCCCGCCCGACUAACUCCGACGGAGGGUAGAACGCUUGAGGUGCGGGGUGACUCGCAUUUUAGAUAGAUGACAGGCACCGGCGACAAUCAUGCCGCCGGAACAGAACCCGGCUUAUAGGGGCACUGCUUUC
RNAcentral lists this RNase P RNA (397 nucleotides) under Prevotella koreensis. RNAcentral describes it as "Bacterial RNase P class A". It matches the Rfam family "Bacterial RNase P class A". Rfam says of the family: Ribonuclease P (RNase P) is a ubiquitous endoribonuclease, found in archaea, bacteria and eukarya as well as chloroplasts and mitochondria. The record is from Rfam by way of RNAcentral. Lineage: Bacteria; Pseudomonadati; Bacteroidota; Bacteroidia; Bacteroidales; Prevotellaceae.